GAUAUUCUUUAAUUCUCUAAAAUAAUAGCAAGAGAUCAGACGCAAAAUGGGACGCGGAGAUCGUGUUUUACUGCCGGUGUUGGAACAUUAGAACUCCUGGAGUUCAUAAACUAACCUGUCAAAUGAAGAAAACAAAAUAGGGCCUCCUUGUUAUGUUAUUGGGCGCCUUGCCAUGCCGGAAUCCCACUGCCCGAAAUCUAUGCUCACAUCACAAGUGGAGCCUUUCAGCAUCAGCGCAGAAGAUGCCUUGCCUGUUGCGGGUGUUUCUACGGGCUGCAAAGCUAUACGAGCAACACGGAGCAGCAGUGCAAAAGGCAGGCCGGACCAGUGCCAAAAAGGUUUGCAAGCCCUGAAAUGUGUUCUGCCGCUAUGGAUCAGU
Xenopus tropicalis (tropical clawed frog) is the source of this 379-nucleotide long non-coding RNA. RefSeq lists it as uncharacterized. The transcript is spliced from 3 exons. Lineage: Eukaryota; Metazoa; Chordata; Amphibia; Anura; Pipidae. The record is from RefSeq and is a predicted model, not a curated record.